UGCAUCUGUAGCUUAGAGAGGAUGAGAAGCUCCGGGGCAGGGAGGUUCGAGCCGAGCGCAGCGAGACAACGUUGCUCAGGCAACGGCCCGCAGGGGAAUAAUCCUCUCUCGCCGACCA
Molecule: small RNA, 118 nt
Filed under: Cedecea colo
Lineage: Bacteria; Pseudomonadati; Pseudomonadota; Gammaproteobacteria; Enterobacterales; Enterobacteriaceae
Description: RtT sRNA
Rfam family: RtT RNA
About the family: This family represents a bacterial cis-regulatory element known as RtT RNA. The exact function of RtT is unknown although it is thought that it may be involved in changing the cellular response in relation to amino acid starvation.
Source: RNAcentral